AUACUCACCUGGCAGGGGGGAAUACCACGCUCGAGAAGGUUUCUCCAGGGUGAGGCACGUCCAUUGCACACUUCGGUUGGGUUGACCCCUGUGAUUUUCUCCAAAUGUGGGAAACUCAUUUGCAUAAUUUGUGACAAAAACAGUGGCAUCACCAGCUUUUUG
Protopterus annectens (West African lungfish) is the source of this 162-nucleotide small nuclear RNA. RefSeq annotates it as U1 spliceosomal RNA. Lineage: Eukaryota; Metazoa; Chordata; Ceratodontiformes; Protopteridae. The record is from RefSeq and is a predicted model, not a curated record. The transcript has a single exon.